This 351-nucleotide long non-coding RNA is filed under the name Dromaius novaehollandiae (emu). RNAcentral describes it as "lncRNA (ENSDNVG00000009811.1)". Lineage: Eukaryota; Metazoa; Chordata; Aves; Casuariiformes; Dromaiidae. The record is from RNAcentral.
AGUCCUUUAAUUAUUUAAUCUGCAAAUGCAAACCCAGUUGAUUUUUUUUUUUUUUUUUUUUAAUUCAGACCCAAAGGAGGAUGAAAGAUUGUUUCUGGAAUGUAAGUGUAAGAAGUGAUACUUGUAGGAAAUAGGUGAUAAGACAUGGUAAGAAAUCCUUGGAAAACCAGUGUUACUGAUGGCAAUAAGAGUGCACAGGCCUUCCAGCGCACUGCACUGCAGGUUUUUUCUCCAUAUCUGUGCAUAUUAAUGAAUUUUGUAUCAGUUUGAAUAUAUAUCAUUUGGUGCCACAGUGCAAAAGUGUGGAAAACCAGAAAUAAGAAGAUUCUCUAUGGAAAAGGUAGUGAAUCU